Phrynosoma platyrhinos (Desert horned lizard) is the source of this 72-nucleotide non-coding RNA. Lineage: Eukaryota; Metazoa; Chordata; Lepidosauria; Squamata; Phrynosomatidae. The record is from the annotation of a GenBank genome assembly.
GCCAGCAUGGUGUAGUGGUUUGAGUGCUCGACUAUGACUCUGGAGAACAGGGUACGAAUCCCUGCUCGGCCA